RNAcentral lists this ribosomal RNA (3255 nucleotides) under Clostridioides difficile. Its description in RNAcentral is "bacterial SSU rRNA". The stretch from base 2 to 795 matches the Rfam family "Bacterial small subunit ribosomal RNA", at positions 9 to 873 of the family's 1533-position model. Lineage: Bacteria; Bacillati; Bacillota; Clostridia; Peptostreptococcales; Peptostreptococcaceae. The record is from RNAcentral.
AGAGUUUGAUCCUGGCUCAGGAUGAACGCUGGCGGCGUGCCUAACACAUGCAAGUUGAGCGAUUUACUUCGGUAAAGAGCGGCGGACGGGUGAGUAACGCGUGGGUAACCUACCCUGUACACACGGAUAACAUACCGAAAGGUAUGCUAAUACGGGAUAAUAUAUUUGAGAGGCAUCUCUUGAAUAUCAAAGGUGAGCCAGUACAGGAUGGACCCGCGUCUGAUUAGCUAGUUGGUAAGGUAACGGCUUACCAAGGCGACGAUCAGUAGCCGACCUGAGAGGGUGAUCGGCCACAUUGGAACUGAGACACGGUCCAAACUCCUACGGGAGGCAGCAGUGGGGAAUAUUGCACAAUGGGCGAAAGCCUGAUGCAGCAACGCCGCGUGAGUGAUGAAGGCCUUCGGGUCGUAAAACUCUGUCCUCAAGGAAGAUAAUGACGGUACUUGAGGAGGAAGCCCCGGCUAACUACGUGCCAGCAGCCGCGGUAAUACGUAGGGGGCUAGCGUUAUCCGGAUUUACUGGGCGUAAAGGGUGCGUAGGCGGUCUUUCAAGUCAGGAGUGAAAGGCUACGGCUCAACCGUAGUAAGCUCUUGAAACUGGGAGACUUGAGUGCAGGAGAGGAGAGUGGAAUUCCUAGUGUAGCGGUGAAAUGCGUAGAUAUUAGGAGGAACACCAGUUGCGAAGGCGGCUCUCUGGACUGUAACUGACGCUGAGGCACGAAAGCGUGGGGAGCAAACAGGAUUAGAUACCCUGGUAGUCCACGCUGUAAACNGUUCGAGUCGCGGAUAGAUCACCAAUGGAGAGGUGUCCGAGUGGUUUAAGGAGCUGGUCUUGAAAACCAGUGACUUCGAAAGGGGCCGUGGGUUCGAAUCCCACCCUCUCCGCCAAAUGCCCAGAUAGCUCAGUCGGUAGAGCAGGGGACUGAAAAUCCCCGUGUCGGUGGUUCGAUUCCGCCUCUGGGCACCAAAAUAUGGCGGUAUAGCUUAGUUGGCUAGAGCGUUCGGUUCAUACCCGAAAGGUCAUAGGUUCGACUCCUAUUACCGCUACUAAAAUUUAAUGUGGGCCAUUAGCUCAGUUGGUUAGAGCGCCCGGCUCAUAACCGGUAGGUCUGGGGUUCGAGUCCCUGAUGGCCCACCACAUUAAAUUAACUUAUGGUGGGUAUAGCUCAGUUGGUUAGAGCGCCAGAUUGUGGCUCUGGAGGUCGUGAGUUCGACUCUCAUUAUCCACCCCAACUUAUAUGGUCUAUUAGCUCAGUCGGUAGAGCACCUGACUUUUAAUCAGGGUGUCCCGCGUUCGAGUCGCGGAUAGAUCACCAAAAAGGCGGCGACAUAGCCAAGUGGUAAGGCAGUGGACUGCAACUCCUUGAUCCCCAGUUCGAAUCUGGGUGUCGCCUCCAAUAAAAUGCGCUCAUAGCUCAACUGGAUAGAGUGUCUGACUACGAAUCAGAAGGUUAGGGGUUCGAGUCCCUUUGGGCGCACCAUAUGAAUAGCGAGGGAUUAUAGCUCAGCUGGGAGAGCACCUGCCUUACAAGCAGGGGGUCACAGGUUCGAGCCCUGUUAAUCCCACCAGUGCAAACCUCUAGUAAAACUACUAGAGGUUUUAUUUUUGAUUGAAAAAAUUUUUAUAUUUAGGAGGUAAAAAAUUUGUAUAUAGUAAUAGGAAAUGAAAUAGUUGAUAGUGAAGAACUUAAAAUAAUUAUAGAUAAAAAUAGUGAAUUUAAAGUUGAAAAAGAUUUAAGUAAAAGCACAAAAAGAGAAGAUGUAAUAGCAUAUCAGUUAAGUAUAGAUUUAAAUUACCUAGAUUCUCUUAUAAAUGAGCAAUGUAAUUUAGCCAGUCUAUCUGAUGAAGAGAAAUUUGAUGAAUAUAUGACUUUGUCUGAUGAACUUGCACUGGAUUUAGAAGAGUUAAUGCCAAAAUAUACAAUAAUAAAUGCUAGAGCAUAUAAAUUAGACGAGGUAUAUGGAAUUGUAAAAAUAAUACUAGCUGUAGCGUAUGCAGAUUUAGGGCACUUAAAACUUUCUGAUGUAGUAAAGAGGCUAUCUAGACAAGUAGAUUAGGAUAUGAAUAUGAACUAUAUUAAAAAAAUGUAUAAAAUCUUACGUAAAGAUGAAAAUAAUUAUGUAAACAUAGAAAAAAACAGUAUAAAAUCAAGUCAAUUGUAGAAAUUUUCACAUAAAUUCAUCUGAAAUUCUAUAAAAAAUGCCUUAAUUUUAAUGAGGUAAAUCGAGUUUACACAGUCUAAAAAUUACUUAUAUUUAUAAAUUUAUCUUAUUAAUUAAGGAACUUUCUUAAACAUCUUCAAAAAUAAAGUAUUUUAGUCUAUAAUCUUUAAUAUUACACAAACAAUAAAGGAGAAGAAUAGAGUAUGCUUAAAAAGUUUAAUAAAAUACUAGUGGCUAAUAGAGGCGAAAUAGCUAUAAGAAUAUUUAGAGCCUGUUCAGAAUUGGGGAUAAAAAGUGUUGGUAUAUACAGUAAGGAAGAUAAGUAUGGAUUGUUUAGAACAAAAGCGGAUGAAUCAUAUUUGAUAGGAGAAGGUAAAGGGCCAAUAGAUGCAUAUUUAGAUAUGGAUGGAAUAAUAGACCUAGCAAAGAGAAAAAAAGUUGAUGCUAUACAUCCAGGAUAUGGUUUUCUAGCGGAGAAUGCAGAAUUUGCUCGUAAAUGUGAAGAGAAUGGAAUUACUUUUAUAGGACCAUCAUCUAAGGUAAUGAAUAUGAUGGGGGAUAAGAUUAACUCUAAAAAAAUCGCAAAAGAAGUUAAUGUUCAAACUAUACCAGGAGUAGAAAAAGCAAUAAGAAGUACUGAAGAAGCAAAGGAAGUUGCAAACAAAAUAGGAUAUCCUGUUAUGAUAAAAGCAUCUAAUGGCGGUGGCGGUAGAGGUAUGAGAAUUGUACAUCGCGAAGAAGACUUAGAGCUUGAAUAUGAAACUGCUUGUAGUGAAUCAAGAAAAGCUUUUGGAGAAGAUAUUAUAUUUAUAGAAAAAUAUAUAGCUGAUCCAAAACAUAUAGAAGUUCAAAUAUUAGGUGAUAAUUAUGGAAAUAUAGUUCACUUAUAUGAAAGAGAUUGUUCAGUUCAAAGAAGACAUCAAAAAAUAAUAGAAUAUGCACCAGCUUUUUCGUUAGAUGAUAAAGUAAGAAAAGAGAUAUGUGAAGAUGCAGUUAAGUUAUCAAAACAUGUGGGUUAUUCUAAUGCGGGAACAUUAGAAUUUUUAGUAGAUGCAAAUGGUGGGCAUUAUUUUAUAGAGAUGAACACAAGAGU